RNAcentral lists this ribosomal RNA (372 nucleotides) under Triticum aestivum (bread wheat). RNAcentral describes it as "partial small subunit ribosomal RNA". The record is from RNAcentral. Lineage: Eukaryota; Viridiplantae; Streptophyta; Magnoliopsida; Poales; Poaceae.
AUGCGAGUAUGCCAACGAAAGAUUGUUUUGACCUUGGGUGGAACCGUCGACGGUGGUGCUUGUGGGCGUCGUUACCUUGCUAAAGGUGUUUUGGGGCGAUUCUCGAUCCCUGUGUGCUCCUGGGGAUACCCCAGAUUUGGGCUUUCCAGAAUGGAUGAUGGCGAUGUUUUGGCGUCGUCACCCCAUGGGGGCAUCAUCUUCGGAGCCAUUCAUCGGCUAGAGGGACAAGUGUUUGGCGUCGGUGGCUGGGUGCAGGUCUUCGCAUGCUUCUCAUGCGGUCACCAAGGUGGAGUGGCGUGGCAUCUACGGCCUCGACGGCGACGAGUCUUCGCAGCAUGGUACAGCUGGGUCUCAGUGCUGGAUACUGUUUGA